AAUGAACGCUGGCGGUGUGCCUAAUACAUGCAUGUUGAACGAAGCACUUGUGCUUAGUAGCGAAUGGGUGAGUAACACGUACUUAAUCUGCCUUUUAGUUUGGAAUAACCUUGGGAAACUAAGGCUAAUACCGGAUAUAAAAUUUUGACUAUGUCUUUAUUUUGAAAGGGGCGUUUGCCUCGCUAAAAGAUGAGAGUGCGGGACAUUAGUUAGUUGGUAGGGUAAUGGCCUACCAAGACGAUGAUGUAUAGCGGGGUUGAGAAGCUGAACCGCCACACUGGGACUGAGAUACGGCCCAGACUCCUACGGGAGGCAGCAGUAGGGAAUAUUCCACAAUGAGCGAAAGCUUGAUGGAGCGACACAGCGUGCAGGAUGAAGGUCUUCGGAUUGUAAACUGCUGUUAUAAGGGAAGAAAAACCGGUGUAGGAAAUGACAUCGGCUUGACGGUACCUUAUCAGAAAGCACCGGCAAACUAU
This 476-nucleotide ribosomal RNA is filed under the name uncultured bacterium. RNAcentral describes it as "bacterial SSU rRNA". It matches the Rfam family "Bacterial small subunit ribosomal RNA", at positions 29 to 504 of the family's 1533-position model. The record is from RNAcentral.